AGAGUUUGAUCAUGGCUCAGGACGAACGCUGACGGUGUGCUUUAGGCAUGCAAGUCGAACGAGAAAGCCCUUCGGGGUGAGUAAAGUGGCGAACGGGUGAGUAACACGUGGGCAACCUGCCCCUCGCAGGGGGACAACCGGAGGAAACUCCGGCUAAUACCCCGUACGCUUGUUGGAUCGCAUGGUCCGGCAAGGAAAGGUAGCUUCGGCCAUCCGGCGAGGGAUGGGCCCGCGUUGCAUUAGCUAGUUGGUGGGGUAACGGCCUACCAAGGCGACGAUGCGUAGCUGGUCUGAGAGGAUGAUCAGCCACACUGGGACUGAGACACGGCCCAGACUCCUACGGGAGGCAGCAGCCAGGAAUCUUGGGCAAUGGGCGAAAGCCUGACCCAGCAACACCGUGUGGGCGAUGAAGGCCUUAGGGUCGUAAAGCCCUGUUGAUAGGGACGAAGGGCGAAGGGUUAAUAGCCCCUAGCUUGACGGUACCUUUCGAGGAAGCCCCGGCUAACUACGUGCCAGCAGCCGCGGUAAUACGUAGGGGGCGAGCGUUGUCCGGAAUUAUUGGGCGUAAAGAGCGUGUAGGCGGUUCGGUAAGUCUGCUGUGAAAUCCUGGGGCUCAACCCUGGGCGUGCAGCGGAUACUGCCGGGCUAGAGGGUGGUAGAGGCGAGUGGAAUUCCCGGUGUAGCGGUGAAAUGCGCAGAUAUCGGGAGGAACACCAGCAGCGAAGGCGGCUCGCUGGGCCAUUCCUGACGCUGAGACGCGAAAGCUAGGGGAGCGAACAGGAUUAGAUACCCCGGUAGUCC
RNAcentral lists this ribosomal RNA (801 nucleotides) under uncultured Rubrobacter sp. RNAcentral's name for it is "bacterial SSU rRNA". It matches the Rfam family "Bacterial small subunit ribosomal RNA", at positions 8 to 796 of the family's 1533-position model. Lineage: Bacteria; Bacillati; Actinomycetota; Rubrobacteria; Rubrobacterales; Rubrobacteraceae. The record is from RNAcentral.